RNAcentral lists this ribosomal RNA (465 nucleotides) under uncultured bacterium. Its description in RNAcentral is "partial 16S ribosomal RNA". It matches the Rfam family "Bacterial small subunit ribosomal RNA", at positions 28 to 507 of the family's 1533-position model. The record is from RNAcentral.
GACGAACGCUGGCGGCGUGCUUAACACAUGCAAGUCGAACGGAAAGGCCCCUUUGGUGGUACUCGAGUGUCGGACGGGUGCGUAACACGUGCGUAACCUUCCCUUGACUUCGAGAUAACUUCAGGUAACUGGGGCUAAUACCGGUUAGGAAUCCUUUCUUCAUGGGGGGGGUUGAAAAGCUUCGGCGGUUUUUGAUGGACUCGCGGCUUAUCAGCUUGUUGGUGGGGUAGUGGCUUACCAAGGCGUUGACGGGUAGCCGGCCUGAGAGAGCGACCGGCCACAUUGGCACUGAGGGGCGGCACAGACUGCGACGGGAGGGAGAAGUGGGGAAUACUGAACAAUCGGCGGAAGGCUGAUGAAGAAAGGCCGCGUGCGGGAUGACGGUCUUCGUGGUGUAAACCGCUUUCAGCAGGAGCGGAGCUUGUGGUGACGGUACCUGAAGAAGAAGCACCGGCUAACUACGUG